GUUGGCUAAAAGGAAGACCAUGGUUAGCCAUCGAAUGGUUAACUGUAUGGACGAAAGAGAUAUGGACAUAUGUCCAUUCUUGUGCGUUUUUCUUUCUUUUUUAGUCUUCCAUGGACGAAGCAAGCACUCUUUAACGAACUCACGAGCAUCGAGAUCGCGAGUCAAGAUCGAGAACAAUGCGAAGAAUGCUUCCUUGGAUCGCAAGGAUAGUUAAAUUGGAAAUUCUAGAAGUGGAAGAAAGAGAAAGAGGAUAGCUUUUUGACAAGACUCUAUGCAGAUCGUGCAUAAGAUCGGGAAAGCAUGGUCGUUUGCUGGCAGAAUCAUGUUAACGACCAGGUGUCCUAAUCGUACAAAACAUUUCAUUGCCAGAAAUGAUUAGACUCGUAAAUAUAGCAGAAGUCCAGGAAAUGAAAUAAUUCGAUCGGAAAUCGAACAGAACUGUCAAAACUAUAAGAGAUAAUACCAAAAGCAUUGACAUGAAAGAACGAUGGUUACGGAUAGCACGACUGAUCAUGCAAAGUGUUACUACACUUGAAAGGAACAUCCAAUAAUGCUUUCGCGUUACCAUUUUUAUUAUUUUAAUUAAAGUCGCUUUUCCUGAAAAGCUUGUUUGAAUUGUAUCAUUUUUGAAAUACAUAUGCAAUAUUACCAAGCAGGUAGUAAUGUGGGAUGGCUGAUGUUUACCAGAUUCAGAUUUGGGAGCAAAGAUGAAGGCUCCUCAGCGUAGCUCUCUAGCCUGGCCCGGUCCCUUCGCUGUACCAACAAUGGUUAAUAACAAACCAUAAAGCACUGUCUUUGAGAUACAUGCAGUGUCUAAUCACCAAUUUGAUAUUUUGAAAAGAAAAGGGGCAUGUGUCUCGAUUUUUUCUGUGGAAAAUAUCUUGUUUGCCUUUUCAAUCUUCAAAUAACACUUUGAUAAGAAAGAUUUACUUGUUAUGCUAAUUGUCGUUUGUUAACUUCCCUUGUAAGGAUAGACAUUUGUUAAUAAAAUUUUCAGUUCUUUAAUA
Molecule: long non-coding RNA, 1007 nt
Organism: Bombus impatiens (common eastern bumble bee)
Lineage: Eukaryota; Metazoa; Arthropoda; Insecta; Hymenoptera; Apidae
Exons: 4
Source: RefSeq, a predicted model, not a curated record